UCUGAUGAUUUGAAAGUUGGC
This 21-nucleotide microRNA is filed under the name Callorhinchus milii (elephant shark). Its description in RNAcentral is "eshark_NOVEL_150". Lineage: Eukaryota; Metazoa; Chordata; Chondrichthyes; Chimaeriformes; Callorhinchidae. The record is from RNAcentral.